Molecule: ribosomal RNA, 998 nt
Filed under: Tingidae gen. 2 sp. b RS-2018
Lineage: Eukaryota; Metazoa; Arthropoda; Insecta; Hemiptera; Tingidae
Description: partial large subunit ribosomal RNA
Rfam family: Eukaryotic large subunit ribosomal RNA
Source: RNAcentral
CUGGUUGCCGGCACGCGAGUUGGCUCCGAGCCGCGGCGGACCGCACUUCUCCCUUAGUAGGACGUCGCGACCCGCUCGUCCGUGGCCUACGGCUGAGCAAGAUGCCUGGCACUGGCGUUGGUCCUUCGGGGCCAGCGGUUUGAGUCAGACUGCUCGUGCUUCCUGGCCACGGUAACGGACGGUAUCAAAUACCGGUGUCGAGUCGCUUCUUAGCGGAAGGGAAAUAAAACACCCUUUCGUACGGAAGCGUCCUAGGCAGAGGGCAAGGUUUCUGAGUUUCUAAAAACGUAAGUUUUGAAGUCAAGACGUUUGUUUUACGUUCGUCUGGCGGAGCUCGGGCCUGUUGGUUCUCUGUCUUUGGACUGGCUCAUUCCCAUUGCGCGGAGAAAGGCACCAGUCAGCGGCGAUCUAGUUUUGGGCUCUUUUCCGACCCGUCUUGAAACACGGACCAAGGAGUUUAGCGUGCUCGCGAGUCAUUGGGUGUUACAAAACCUAAAGGCGAAAUGAAAGUAAAGAGCUGUCUUUUGACUCUCAAGGGAGGAUGAGCUACUGCUCUGGUCGUUCUAACCGGCGGCUGAGCGUGUCUCCGCACUCCCGGGGCGAUUCUUUCUCAUUGCGAGUGGAGGCGCACCAAGAGCGAGCACGCUGAAACCCGAAAGAUGGUGAACUAUGCCUGGCCAGGACGAAGCCAGGGGAAACCCUGGUGGAGGUCCGCAGCGAUUCUGACGUGCAAAUCGAUCGUCGGAGCUGGGUAUAGGGGCGAAAGACCAAUCGAACCAUCUAGUAGCUGGUUCCCUCUGAAGUUUCCCUCAGGAUAGCUUGCGCUCGGGUGUGAAGAGUCUCAUCCGGUAGAGCGAAUGAUUAGAGGCCUUGGGGUCGAAACGACCUCAACCUAUUCUCAAACUCCAAAUAGAUGAGAACCCCGGCUUGCUUGAAUUUUUUUUUUAUUGAAGCCGCGGGACUCGGAUCAAAGUGCCAAGUGGGCCAAUUUUGGUAAG